This 885-nucleotide long non-coding RNA is filed under the name Sus scrofa (pig). RNAcentral describes it as "lncRNA (ENSSSCG00070008654.1)". The record is from RNAcentral. Lineage: Eukaryota; Metazoa; Chordata; Mammalia; Artiodactyla; Suidae.
GUCCUCCAGAGGGCGACAGAGCACCAGCAGAGCCCGCUGCAUCUCCCUGUUUGCAUCUCCAGGCUCAGAUUGGAUUGAAAAGGGACCCAUGGAAUCCCAAGGAGGGGCCCAGAGCCUGGGGUUUGUUUUCAUGGUGCCCUGACACUUCAGCCCAGUGGGACUCCAGUCAGUGAGGGCAUGGACUUUUGCCAUCACGUAUCUGAUUCCAUUCCUGCCAGUCAGGCGGCCAGAGUAUGAGUGAGUUUGACUGGCUCUCCGGGGUCUAAGUGUCCUUUUCUUGUUUGAAUCCUGGACAUGCAGUUUUCAAAUCAGCCUGGCAGGGUGUUUGAAGUCUAGAAACCUGAGCUUCAGGGUCUUAAGGUCCUAUGUCUACACUUUCAGAGUGCGAUCUGUGCUUACGGUGUGGUUCUUUCUCUCCAGGGUUCCCCAAAGCCUCUGUCUGCCUUCUGCAGCUGAGCUGCUUCAGCCUCUGUGGGACACCCAUUUGAAGGAAUCUGUCCAAAUCCAUGUAAGAGAUCUCCUCUUAUUUUUUUCCCUCCCACCUGAGGCUCUUCCUCCUCACUAGACACCUGUUCCAAAGAAGCUCCUGCAACUAGGUAAGAUGAAUCAAGCCUGGGUGGUCCUUGGUUUCUAUCUGGGUCCCAGGGCUGAAGGGUGCCGAUUGAUUCAGAGCCGGCUGAAGUGACUUACAGAGCUGGGUCUUUGAUUUCAAGGUGUGGGCUUGUGUCGUGAAGGUUGAGUAUCCAGGGUGACAGUGAAGAAUCCAUACUCCCACCCAAGAGUGGAUUUCAGUGUGCCUGAGAGGAAGAGGAAGUAAGACAUCUUGCUGGCUUGUCCCCCAGGUCAGUGCAGACCAGAGUUUUGCUGUGGGAGGCAGAGGAAGGG